RNAcentral lists this transfer RNA (71 nucleotides) under Apteronotus albifrons (black ghost). Its description in RNAcentral is "tRNA-Thr". It matches the Rfam family "tRNA". Rfam says of the family: Transfer RNA (tRNA) molecules are approximately 80 nucleotides in length. Their secondary structure includes four short double-helical elements and three loops (D, anti-codon, and T loops). The record is from RNAcentral. Lineage: Eukaryota; Metazoa; Chordata; Actinopteri; Gymnotiformes; Apteronotidae.
GCAUUAGUAGCUCAAUUUCAAAGCAUCGGUCUUGUAAUCCGAAGCCGGAGGUUAAAAUCCCCCCUAAUGCC